GGGGAUCAUGUAGGGUGGUUGACCAUCUCCGACAUGCCUAUGAUUUCUAGUUUAAUUUAGUUCUAACAAACAGCUCUCAUUGUGUGUGUUUGUUUCACCAAACCCCAUACAUUGAGGACCAUUCUGAUCAUUUUAUCUUUGUUUUCUGUUUUUGUUAUACUGUGUUCCUCAGAGGCUGCGUUUCUGUGGGUAAGCAACAGCAGAAACAUACAACACUUAAAUUGAAAAGGAAAAUGAUGGGGCUAUGAUGAUUGAUUGUUAUUGAGCAUAUAGAACCUGCCAUUGUAGUUUCAGGCCUGUAUCUUGGCGGGGCGACCAAUAUUAUAGGGUUUGCAGCCAUGGCAGUGUCAAAGAACUUUUGCCUGAGAUCAACUACUCAUCUGAGCCUCAAGAAAUGGCUGAAUACAUCGACAGCCCCUCAAACUUGUCAAUUUUUUUCAUUUGGACACCUGAACUAAUGGUGGUUCUAUUCAUCACCUGAACUCGAGUCAAACUAUGUCUAUUAGACAUAGACACACGUUGCUGAAGUUGUCCAACCGGGCUCUUAUGGAAAAGUUAACACUUUCCAACUUUUCCAUAGGAGGCGGUGAUGAUAUUGCUAAUCAGGUCUGGAAUUUGAGGCAUGGAGAAAAUCCAACCCGUAUCUAGGCAUGGCAAACCCGGAUGGUUUGUGAUUGGGGCUUCUCUUUCACAUACAACCGGUUCUUUUGCAGCCACGGCAUUGUUGCCUUCUCUUUGCCCCAUUUUAGGCAUAUCUGAGCCUCAACUUCCAAUUACUCUUUAAAAUAGGGUCCUAAAAACGGCUAUUUGUUCACUUCCCCCAUUUUACGGCAUUGAGAAAAUCCGAUCCGUUUCUAGGGCGACCUGGUAUGACAUCAUUUGCAAACCGGUGUCUGCAGUCAUGGGAUGUGUCACUUUCACUUUGCAUAGUUCGUAGAACAACCAUUUGAUGGUCUUGAAUGGAUGGUCGUUCUCUGGAACCGGAACACACUGUUGGGUUCUUCAUUUUUUUCUUGAACAUCCCAUUUUCAGAUGCUGUUUUCCAUCAAGUUGGUUGCUAAAAAAUGAGGCAAUUGGAGACAGAAUGGAGAUUUUUCAGGGUGGUUGACCAUCUCCGUCAUGCCGGUGAUUUAUUUUUUGCUCUAAAUCAACAACCCCUUUUGCAUAUAUGAUUGUGUGCAUAUGUGUAUGUAUGUAUGUAUCUAUCUAUCUAUUACCUGUAACCUGUAAUUAUUUAACUGCCAGUACCACGUUGGGCUGUUUUAUGAACCAAACAGCAAGAGAUCAGUGUAAGAACAGGGAGAAUUAUUUAACUGCCAGUACCCCGUGUGAUAGGAUGGAGUGUAUGCAGACCUUACCCUUACCUUGUGUGAGGUAGAGAGACUGUUUUUAAGCAUUUUCAAAACAGGCUUGAAAAAUACAAGAGUAAAAAGCUAAGGAUGAAAAUACUGAAGAAAAGAGAAGUAUUGACAGCAAAAUAGUAGAGAUAACUAACGUAAAAGAAACAACAGUCGUAAUAAAAUUAACUAAUAAGAUAAUAAUAGAAAAAUGAUAAUAAUAUUGAUAAGGAGAAGAGAGGAUAAGCACUGUUUUCUGAUAUACUCACAAAAAGCCUCGAUUGAAACAUACAUGGCAGGGUAACCUGGAGAGGUUGUAGUGUAUGAUGCGCAUGUAUAUUAUCUGAAUACUAGGGGUAUCGAUGGUUCGGUUCGGCCAAUUAUUUUACAAUGAGGCCCAUAUUUUUUGGAGGUCCAAAAGCAUUAGGGAACUGUAACCUGAAGCGGACGGGGAAACAAAAAUGAUAAAAAGCUAAUUAGUUUAAGUCUGAGGCUGCUGGAUUCAGAGAGUUGUGGGGAGUUCUUUGAGUGGUUGCCCCUCUCUACCAUUCUUAGCGAUCACUCAAAGUUUUCCUAUAUCAAACCACUCAUUAGCAAAAUAAAUUCAAUGAGGCAAUGAAGUUGUUCACUCUUUACUCAUCAGCUGGUUAAGCUUUGCUAUAUCUUGGCGUGGCAGCUUUUGGGAGGUCUUGUGUGACAUUGCAGCUAUUUUGGUUUCUGUGUCUCGCAAAGGCUCCUUAAGCUUGCAGCCAUGGCGGGUUUAGCUUAUGCCUGAGAAAAGGUGAAUCUGAGCCUCCCGGGUAUCUUUUUGUAUUUAAAGAAUGAGGCUUUUUAUGGAACUCGAGAAAGCUUGAGAUUUUCUAAGGGUGGUUAUUCUCUUUCUUGGAAGUGCAAUUUAGCCAAUAAAUUUUCCUAUGUCUUUGUUGCAAACAGAAAUAUUAACAGCCCUUUCAUCAGCAAAAAGCCAAUUAUGGUGUUGAGGAUAAUGAUGAAUUGAUGAUAGCCAUGGUUGUGGUAGUAAUAAAGAAAAGGCCAAAUACAUAGAUAGCCCCUUAAAGGUGGCACGAUUUGUCAGUUAGUUUGCCCCUAAACUUGUCUAGACUCUAGAGAAAUCUUUUUGUACUUGGAUCCCAGACCCUAGACUUUGUGAAUGAGGCUAUGAUUAUAUUUUCCAGGAAGCUUGAAAGUAGUCAGAUUGUUGAGCUGAUUCGCAUCUUGGCUAGGCAAACACGGGGGAGUUUGUGAGGUGGGUUCUUAUUUGCUCUCUCACAAAGGUGUCUGCUUCUUGCAGCCAUGGCGGAUUAACCAUUUUUCUGAUAGAUUUAUGGCGAAUCUGAGCCUCUUUUCUGUGUAAAGUGAGCUUUUUCUUUCUGCGGAUCUUUACCCAAAUAGUCAGUCGGAUUCAUACAUGGUUAUACACAUCUUACACAUGGAUUAUACAUCCACCAGCUAUUCUUAGUUUAAGCGGUUGGAUGUGCGGCUAUUUAGGUUAAUUCUUCUUCUUUCUGGGCUAUAUCUGCUUUAAAUGCAUUGAGAAAAUCCAACCCGUAUCUUGGCGGGACAUCUGUGUAUGUCAAUCAUCUGCAAACCGGUGUCUGCAGCCGUGGCGUGUGUCCCUUUCUCUUUGCAUUUUUCAAAAAACAGCUGAUGUUUAUAUGUGUGUUUGUUUAAUCAAACCCCAUACAUUUAGGACCAUUUUGUUCAUUUUCUCUCGGUUUUCUGUUACUGUUACGCUAUGUUCCUCACAGUUUGCAUUCUAUGGCAAAGCAACAGCAGUAACAUACAACAAUGAAAUUGAAAAGGAAAAUGCUGGGGCUGUGAUGAUUGAUUUUUAUUAAGCAUACGGAACCUGGCAUUUUAGUUUUAGGCCUGUAUCUUGGCAGGGCGACCUGUAUUUUAGGGGUUGCAGCCAUGGUAGUGUCAAAGAACUCAUUGCCUAAGAUCAAUACUUAUCUGAGCUUCAAGUCUUUCUGAAAUGGCUGAAUACAUCAAUGGCCCCUCAAACUUGUCAAUUUUUUUCAUUUGGACAGCUGAACUAAUGGUGGUUCUAUUGACUACCUGAACUCGAGUCAAACUGUGUCUAUUAGACACACGUUUCCGAAGUUGUCCAAACGGGCUCUUAUGGAAAAGUUAACAUUUUCCAGAAGAGGCAGUGAUGAUAUUGCUAAUCUGAGCAUAAUAACCGAGAAAAUCCAACCCGUGUAUUGGCGGGGUAACCCGGUAUGGCAUCAUUUGCAAACCGGUGUCUGCAGCCAUGGCCUGUGAUACUUUCUCUCUGCAUAGUUCAUAGAACAGCAAAAUCUGAGCCCUAAAAGUUAUACGGCAGCCAUUUGAUGGUCUUGAAUGGAUGUUCGUUCUCUGGAAUAGGAAAAAUGGAGAUUCAGUCCAGUAGAAGAAUGAGGCCAACAGAGAGAAAAAGGGAAUUCUUGUGAGGGUGGUUGCCCCUGCUGCUUGGCCUAUGAUUUCUCCAUCAACCAAACCAACAACCCUCUUCAGAAAUCCUAGUACUGCUUUCUGAUUUCUCUGAGCUUAAACUAAACAUCCUUUGAUCUCAGUGUUAGUUUGUCAAAAAUUGUUUGAAAUUGACUAAACAGGCUAUAUAUGGAAAAGUUACCAUUUCUCUAGAGGCAGUGAUGAUAUUGCUAACCUGGGAUAAUAUUCGGGGCGUGGAGACAAUUCGACCCCUAUCUUAGCACGGCAAGCCCGGAUUGUUUGUGAUCGAGGCUUCUCUCACAUGCAACCGGUUCUUUUGCAGCCAUGGCAUUGUUGGAUUCUCUUUGCCCCAUUUUUUGUAGAUCUGAGCCUCAAUUUCCAACUAGUACAUCUGGACUUUUCGGGACUCAAAACCAUACAUCUGGACUUUUCGGACUCAAACCAGGACGUCUCGUUUGGUAUAACCCAUUUGUGUUUUUCAGUUUUUCUUGUUUGUUGCAGUUCUCCAUAAAAAUUUUAGCUCAAAGAAUGAGGCAAUUGGAGAAAAAAUGGAUUUUCGAGGGUAGUUGAACGUCUACAUCGUGCCUAUGAUUUCUAUUUCCUUUUAGCUCUAACAAACUGCUUUUUUUCUUUAUGUGUGGGUUUGUUUAACCAACCCCCAUACAUCAAGGACCAUCUUGAUCAUUUCUCUCUGUUUUCUGUUACUGUUUUACUCUGUUCCUCAGAGGCUGCGUAUCUAUGGUAAAGCAACAGCAAAAGCAUACAACAAUGAAAUGGAAAAGGAAAAUGACGGGGCUGUGAUGAUUGAUUGUUAUUAAGCAUAUAGAACCUGGCAUUUCAAACCUGUUUUGAAAAAUGCUUUUCUUGAGCCAAGGGUCUACCGGAAACAACCUCUCUACCCCACAAAGUUACGGGUAAGUUAGGGGUAAGGUCUGCGUACACCCAUCCUCCUUAGACCCCACAUGUGGGAUCACACGGGGUAUGUUGUUGUUGUUGUAACCUGGCAUUGUAGUUUCAGGCCUGUGUCUUGGCGGGGCGACCCAUAUUAUAGGGUUUGCAGCCAUGGCAGUGUCAGAACUCAUUGCCUGAGAUCAAUUACUUUUAUGAGCCUCAAGCCUUUUUGAAAUGGUUGAAUACAUCCCCUCAAACUUCGCAAGUUUUUUCGUUGAGACACAUGAACUAAUGAUGGUACCUCUUGAACACCUGAACUCGAAGAGGCAGUGAUGAUAUUGUUAAUCUGGGCUAACAUUUGGGGCAUGGAUAAAAUACAACCUGUAUAUUGGCAUGGCAAUCCCGGAUGGUUGUGAUUGGAGCUUCUCUUUCACAUGCAGGCGGUUAUUUGGCAGCCAUGGCAUUGUCACCUUCUCAUUGCCCCAUUGUAGGCAGAUCUGAGCCUCAACUUCCAUUAGUCUUUAAAUAGGGGUCCUAAAAAUGGCUAUUUGUGCACUUCCCUCUCUUUAUUGCAUAGAGAAAAUCCAACAUGUAUCUUUUUUUUUUGAUAACCGUGGUGUCCAGGCCAGCUUGCGCGCACCUCGACUAAUUCCACGGGAUACCUGCAACCUCCCACUAGCAACAGGUACCAACAGCUAUCAAGUAACUCUAUCCACCAAGGCUUGGAUAGAUGGGAAGAAAUUUGAACCUGAGACCUCAUGGUUCUCACCCACUUCAUUGACCACUAGGACACCCUUGGGUGCAUCAGUGUAUUGGUAUUACUUACAAAAUCCAACAUGUAUCUUGGCGGGGUGAUCCGGUAUGGCAUCAUUUGCAAACCGGUGUCUGCAGCGUUUGCCUGUGACACUUUCUCUUUGCAUAGUUCAUAGAACAGCAAAAUCUGAGCCCUUAAAGUUUUUUGUUUUUUUCUUGAACACCUAUUUCAGAUCCUGUUCUCCAUCAAUUUUUUAUCUAAAAAAUGAGGCAGUUGGAGAAAAAAUAGGGAUUUUUCAGGGUGGUUGACCAUCUCCGACAUGCCAGUGAUUUCUUUUUUGCUCUAAUCAACAGCCCUUCCUGCAUAUGUAUGAGUAUGUGUAUAUAAUAAUAUAUAUAUGUAUUUGUAUGCCUAUUUCGAUCUCUAUCUAUGACUAAUCUGUUUCUGCAUGGCUGCGUUUUCAAGCAAAGCAGCAGCAAAAGCAUAGAAAGGGGAGGUUUAGUUUCCUAAAUGCAGACUUACGUGCUCUCUUCGGUUAAAUUCUCUCUUAUAAAUCAGAGAGUGUUUUACUUCACAAAAUUGGAGGUUCAGACCAGUAUGAAGAAUGAGGCCAACAGAGAAAAAGGGAAUUCUUGUGAGGGUGGUUGCCCCCUCUACUUAACCUAUGAUUUCUCCAUCAACCAAACCAACAACCCUCUUCAAAAAAGUACUACUACUACUACUAUUGGUUUCUGAUUUCUCUGAGCUAAAACCAAACAUCCUCUGAUCUUAGCGUUUCUUUAUCAAAAAUUCUUUGAAUUGUCCAAACGUCUACUGUGUAAAAGUUUCUACUUUUCAAAAGAGGCAGUGAUGAUAUUGCUAAUACUGGGCUGAUAUUUGGGGCAUGGAGACAAUCUGACCCAUACCUUGGCAGGGCAAACCCGAAGGUAUGGGUGAGGCCUUCUCUGUCACAUGCAACCGGUUCUUUUGCAGCCAUGGCGUUGUCGCCUUCUCUUCGCCCCAUUCUUUUGCAGAUUUGAGCCUCAAUCUUCAACUAGUCUUUGUGGACUUUUUGGACUUGAACCCAAGACCUCGUCAUGUGGAAACCCAUGUCAUUUUUGAAAUAUGCAUGUUGUCUUUGCUGUUGCUGCUGCAUCUUCUUCUUUUUCUUUUGUUCUUGAUGAUGAUUGAUGUGUUAUCAACCAAAUAGCAAGAAAUCAAUGUAAUAAGAGGGAGAAUUUAUGGCUACGAGGAUAAUUCUUUUUUUGAGCAAUUUGAAUUAGGCUUUGAAAUGAUAAAGCCUUACUUUGGCAGGGUAACCAAGAGAGGUAGCAGCCAUGGCGGUUUUUGAUAAACUCAAUGCCUGAUUAAAUUGAAAUCUGAGCCUAAGUUAUGUACAUGAUGCACAUGUACAUUGUCUUUGUAUUACGUACAUAGUAACAUACACAAACAUAUCAUGAGAAAAUGUCCAAAAUGGUCCCUUAUUGAGGCAGUAUGAUCUUUCAAUCUAUGCUCCUAUGCUACUAAUUGAGCAUUGAGAGUACCCGCCCCAUAUCUUGGCAGGGCAAUGACCCUGGUGCUUGUGAAUUUUGUGAAAAAUUGCAUGCAACUGGGGGAUAUUUGCAGCCAUGGCGUGUCAGGACUUACUUUGCCUGUGCAUAAGUACAGAUCUGAGCCUCAAUUGUCACUUGUAUCUUACUUUGGGUGUAUUUGACCUGGAGGAAAAUGUUUUAGUGAAGCAGCCCUAAAAGUGGCUACCUGAUAUAAUUUCUGCAAUUAAGACCUUCGUCAUGAGGCCCAUAAUUUUGGGAGGUCCAAAAGGAUUAGGGCACUAUUAGAUCAAGCAUAAGGAAAAACAAAAAUGGCAAAAAUCUCAUUCUUCAAGUCUGAGGCUGCUACCACUCUGUCAUUCUCAGCAGAAGGUGAAACUAAAAUGGUGAAAAUCUUGGAGUUGUUGCUGCUCCCCUUUGUCUUUCUCAGCAACCAAUGAUCACUCAAAUUUCCUAUUUUCAAAUCACUCUUUGGCAAAUAAGUUCAAUGAGGCAGUGGAGAUUUUCAUUCUUUACUCAUCAGAUGGUUGAGCUUGCUAUAUCUUGGCGUGGCAUCUUUUGGGGGUUUUGUGAGUGGGAGCUAUUUUGGUUUCCGUGUUUCACAAAGUCUUCUUAAGCUUGCAGCCAUGGUGGGGUUUUACUUAUGUCUGAGAAAAGGUGAAUCUGAGCCUCGAGUAUCUGUUUGCGUUCAAAGAAUGAGGCUUUUUAUGGAACUCGAGAAAGGUUGAGAUUUUCUAAGGGUGGUUACUCUCUUUCUCCGAAGUUCUAUUUGGCCAAUGAAUAUUUCUUUACCUUUGUUACAAAGAGAAAGAUUAACAGCCCUUUCAUCAGCAAAAUGCCAAUUAUGGUGAUGAUGAUGAUAGCCAUGUUUAUGGUAGUAAUAAGGAAAAGGCCAAGUGCAUAGAUAGCCCCUUAAAGUUGGCAUGAUUUCCCAGUUAUUUUGUCACUUAAACUUGUCCCGAGAAAUCUUUUUGUACUUGGAUCCUAAACCCUAUAUUUUGUGAUGAGGCUAUGAUGAUAUUCUCCAGGAAGCUUGAAAGUCGGAUCAUUUAGCUGAUUCGUAUCUUGGCUAGGCAAAGGCAGGUUAAUUUGUGAGGUGGAUUGUUAUGUGCUCUCACAAAGGUGUCUGCUUCUUGCAGCCACGGCGGAUUAGCCACUGUUCUGAUAGAUUUUAAGGCAAAUCUGAGCCUCUUUUCUGUGUUAAGUUUAAUUCUACAAAUUGUCUUUCACAUUUACUACCAAAAUUCCUAAACAUUUCUUGUUAGCAAAUGGUACCUUUCUAAGGAUGAGUUUUCCUUGUAUUGUUCUUCUUUAUCAUCGGUCCAACUGGUUGAGGACAUACAAAAGCUUAAUUGGCCUUCUAACGGUAAACCAUGCAGUUGCAGGAUCUAUUGUUAUUGCGAUGGCUUGUUUCUUAUUGGGGUUCGUAAUUCUGAUAAACACCGCAUAUGGACUCUUUGGCAUUUGUACAUGGAGCAUUUCACUGUCUUGCUUUGUCACUGAAUAAUUUUGUGGUUUCAUUUUGUAUUGCAAAGCAGUACAGAGAGAUAUCGUUGCCAGAGAGGUGCUUGAUUUUAAACGUGGCCGUACAUAAAAAAUGGAGUUUCAGUAUUGGGAGGAAUGCUUUGUGGUUAUUCAACUUAUACUCAUCAGGGGAAGGACACUUUCAAGUUAGGAGUAAUGAAAGACUAUGGUUCAAGAAAUCUUGGAAUAAUUUGUUUACAUAUACAAGGUACUGAGGAAAUUGUUUCAGUGAAGCAGCCCUAAAAGUGGCUACCUGGUGUCAUUUCUACAAAUAAGACCUUUCACAUGAGGCCCAUAAUUUUGGGGUGUCAAAAGAUCAGGGCACUAUAGUAUGAAGCAGAAGGUGAAAUGAAAACGGCAACAAUCCCAUUAGUUUAAGUUUGAGGUUGCUGGAUUUAGAGAGCUGUGGCGAGUUGUUUGUGUGGUUGCCCCUCUUAGCAGCCAAUGAUCACCCAAUGUUUACCAAUUUCAAACUAUUCUUUAGCAAAUUAAGUUCACUGAGGCAGUGACGAUUUUCAUUCUUUACUCAUCUUUUGGCUGAUUUUUGCUGUAUCUUAGCGUGGCAGCUUACAGCGACCUUGUGAGAUAUGGGAUCUAUUUAGGUUUCUGUGUCUCGUGAAUGCUUCUUAAGCCUGCAGCCAUGGCGGGGUUUAGUUUAUGUAUGAGAAAGGCAAAUCUGAGCCUCCCACAUAGCUGUUUGUGUUUAAAAAAAUGAGGCUUCUUAUGGAACUCGGAGAAUGGUUGAGAUUUUGUAAGGGUGGUUACUCCCUUUCUCUGAAAUUCAAUGUUGCCAAUGAAUUUUCCUGUACUUCUCUUACAAAGAGAAAGACUAACAGCCCUUUCAUAAAAAAAAUGCCAGAUAUGUUCUAUAAGAUGGGAAAAUACAUAUUUUGCCCACCUAAACUAGCCCCAAAAAAAACCGAAUCCUAAACCCUAAACAUUGUGAAUGAGGCUAUGAUGAUAUUCUCCAGGAAGCUUGCAAGUCAGAUUUUUGAGCUGAUUCUUAUCUUGGCUAGGCAAAGGCAAGGGAAUUUGUGAGGUUGGAGGGAGUUAUGGUGUCUCCAAUUUCCCUGGAUCAUUUGUCUUUCUGCAGAGCCAAAUUUCAAGUUGUUCAGGGGUUCUCUCUUUUCAAGUUUCAUUUUCUUUUGGUAUUUUUAUCCCAGUUAUAGCUGUAGUUUCUUGGAGCCUUGCUUUAACUUUGAAGACUAUUCAACUCUUGGAGCUUGAGAUUGUGUCAAUACAAGUUUAACACUAAUGCUUCUUUAUUUCUCUUUCACUCUUAGAUGAGAAUGUGCACAGUUCAAGAAAGCCUGAUAGCUCUAACACGCGCAGGGAAUGAAGAAAACCGGUCAGUUUAAGAACUAAACUUAUCCACCAGCUGGUUGUCCUGUCCAAAAUUGAAUUCUGACUCCAUAGAGAAACUUCAAGCAGUUCUAUGAUAUAUAUAGGAAUUAAGAUUCUGUUGGUGAAUCUCUUGUGCAUAACAGCAUAGCAUAGAACGGCCCUUUCUAAGAUUCUUGAAUUACUUUGUGAUACACUUUGAGCAUAAGAUCGAUGUUCAUUAGAAUUCUUAGAAGAUCAAGAAAUGCGCGCCUUUA
Molecule: long non-coding RNA, 10066 nt
Organism: Nicotiana tabacum (common tobacco)
Lineage: Eukaryota; Viridiplantae; Streptophyta; Magnoliopsida; Solanales; Solanaceae
Source: RefSeq, a predicted model, not a curated record